Molecule: RNA transcript, 3412 nt
Organism: Melospiza melodia melodia
Lineage: Eukaryota; Metazoa; Chordata; Aves; Passeriformes; Passerellidae
Gene: GMEB1
Gene name: glucocorticoid modulatory element binding protein 1
Exons: 13
Source: RefSeq, a predicted model, not a curated record
UAGCUCCCCCCUUCUCCUUUAAGGCCUCGGCGUGAUCGCCGCCGCGAUUUGUCCGUGUCCUAUUGACCCCCCCGCGCCAGGUAUCCUGGCGAAGCUCUGCCGUCUCUCGAGGGGCCCCGGGUGGCUCCGUCUGUCCCUCGGAGCGGGAUGAGGGAGGAGAAAACCUUGCCACGUUCAUGUGAGAGAUGGCGAAUGCCGAGGUGAGCGUCCCUGUGGGUGAUGUGGUGGUUGUACCAAGUGACGGGAAUGAAGGGGAGAGCCCGGAGGAUACCAAAACCCAAGUGAUCUUGCAGCUCCAGCCGGUGCAGCAAGGGAUUUACCAAGAGGGCUCCGAGGCCAGUGCCGCUGUGGUGGCCGUGGAAACUCACACCAUCCACAAGCUGGAAGAAGGGAUUGACCCCAGCACCCUUGAAACGAGUGAGGAAAUCGAGAUUGCCUAUCCCAUCACCUGUGGGGAGAGCAAAGCCAUCCUCCUCUGGAAGAAGUUUGUCUGCCCAGGAAUUAAUGUCAAGUGUGUGAAGUUCAAUGACCAACUGAUUAGCCCGAAGCACUUUGUUCACCUGGCUGGGAAGUCUACCCUGAAGGACUGGAAGAGAGCCAUUCGCCUUGGAGGAAUCAUGCUAAGGAAGAUGAUGGAUUCAGGGCAGAUUGACUUCUACCAACAUGACAAAGUUUGUACCAACACCUGUCGAAGCACCAAGUUUGAUCUCCUGAUCAGCAGUGCCAGAGCACCAGUGCCGGGGCAGCAGAGCGUGGUGCAGACUCCAACCUCAGCUGAUGGGAGCAUCACCCAGAUUGCGCUGUCAGAGGAGAGUAUGGAGGAGGGGAUAGAGUGGAACUCGGCUCUGACAGCUGCUGUCACCAUGGCCACUGAGGAAGGCAUGAAAAAGGACACGGAUGAGAUUUCAGAGGACACACUGAUGUUCUGGAAAGGAAUAGCUGAUGUGGGGCUGAUGGAAGAGGUGGUGUGCAACAUCCAAAAGGAAAUAGAAGAAGUCCUAAGAGGUGUGCAGCAGCGGUUGAGUCAGUCUCCCUUCCAGAUGACAGAUGCUGCAGUCCUGAACAACGUCGCCCAUACAUUUGGCUUAAUGGACACAGUCAAGAAGGUACUGGACAACAGGAAAAACCAGACAGAGCAAGGAGAGGAACAGUUUCUUUACACACUGGCAGACCUGGAGCGGCAGCUGGAAGAACAGAAGAAACUUGCCAGGGACCAGAAGACCAAGUCUCAAACCAUCCAGAACGUGGUGCUGAUGCCCAUGAGCACUCCCAAGCCUCCCAAGAGACCCCGUCUGCAGCGCCCAGCCUCUGCUACCAUCCUCAGCCCCUCCACCCCCAUCCAGCAGCCUCAGUUCACUGUCAUCUCCCCCAUCGCCAUCGCGCCCGUUGGACAACAGUUCUCUGUGGGCAACAUCCCAGUGGCAACCCUCAGCCAAGGCUCCAGCCCAGUGACUGUUCAUACCUUGCCGUCUGGCUCCCAGCUCUUCCGAUAUGCCACCGUGGUUUCAUCCUCCAAGACCAGCUCCUCGGACACCGUCACCCUGCACCCAUCCUCCAGCCUGGCACUGCUGAGCUCAGCAGCCAUGCAGGACACCGGGGCCCUCGCCAACGUGGCGACCAUGGUCAACCCUGUGGAACUAGUGGCCAUGGAGUCUGGCAUCACUUCCACCAUCCAAGCUGUGGAAGGCACCUCAGAUGAUGGGCAGACCAUCAUAGAGAUUGACCCAGCGCCGGAUCCUGAGGUGGACACAGACGAAUCAGAGGGCAAAGCUGUGAUCCUGGAGACAGAGCUGAGGACUGAGGAGAAAGUGGUGGGAGAUGUGGAAGACCAUCAGCACCAGGUCCAUAAUGUGGAGAUUGUGGUCUUGGAAGACUAGUGGGGAAGGCAAGCAUCUGUUAGUGGAAGAGUUGGGAAUUCGUUUUAUUUCAGGCUUUUUUGUUAAGCAUCUUUUCCAGCCACCUCAGUUGUUACUAUGGAUAUUUUCAUUGUACUGUGUAUAUAUAUAUAUAUAUAUGUGUAUAUAUAUAUAUAUAUAUAUAUAUACACACACACAUAUACAUAUACAUAUAUAUAUGUGUGCGUGUGUGUAAAAGGUUUGGGGUUUUUUUUAAACAAAGCUGGAGAAACACAUGAGACAUGGAUAAGGCUCCGUCUCUGUGGAGCACUGAACAAUACCACCCGUGGCAGGGUCAAGGAGAGACUGGAUCUCUGCUGGACAAACCAACCAGGAGGAACUAGCCAUGCCCCGGUGCUUCUGCUCCAGGGCUGCCCUGGCCCGGAGACUUUAUUUGAGAGACAGUAACACUUGCGUGUGGAUGUGGCUGUGAGAAGGGGUGACGGAUUUGGGGUGGAACAGAGACCCAAGGGCCAAGGCAACAAAGUGCAAAACGGCUCUGUGCACCAGAAAGAUGGGUUGAAUGAUGAUGACUUUGAGCCCUACCUGAGUCCCCAGGCUCGCCCGGAACGCCAAGGCCGUGUCAAGUAAAAGGCCAUUCCUCCAGCACAGAUUGCUGCAGAGAUUGCAUCCCAGCUGUCUUUCAGAGAGAGAAAGGAGCAAGAGUAUCCCAGAAAGAAUUAGGACUUUUUUUUCUUAAUUCCUUUGACUUCAAACAGACUUUUACAAACUUCCAAUUAAAAAAAAAAAAGUAUUGGAAUAUCACAAGACAUAGGACUAAAAAAAACCAAAAAACAACUACAAAAAAAUCCCUUCUAGGUAGAGUAGAGGUAAAACCUGUCCCAUUUCUUUUGGUUUUGGUUGUGAUUUCAGAGCAUACACUUUGUUUUUGUCUUUUUACUAUGGUUUUGGAUUUUCGAGUCCGUAAGUGGCAUAUGCCUUUUUUUUUUGUCUAAUUUUUAAUCUCAUUGUUCCUCCUCUUUCCACCCUGUUGGGCCUCCUUCCCUGGUUUUGAUAUUUGCACUUGGAGCACUGAAUUAUAGCAUCCACCAUGCAAAGUGGAGUAACUUUUUUUUGUUUUUCUUUCCCCGGACCAGAAGAGGAGGAAUUCUGUGAGGAAGCUGGGGUUUUGGCCUAAGAAGAAUUGAACAGAAAAUUGUCCCCGAGGUUAUGUCUUAAAGGUGGUUCAUUUUUCUCUGACCCUUUGUUACUCAAAAGUCAAGUACUAGGAGUCCUAAGAAAUGUUCUGUUCUUGUGCAUUUUAUAGAUUUAAAGAUUAGGUCUGGAUGAAUUUGAUUUUUUGAAAGCUGAGAACAGUGGUAAAAACUUGCCUUGUUUACAGGAAAAUGAAUUUUGGACAAUAAAAAGCCCAAAACAAACAAACCAAGGAAGAAAUAUUGUAAAAUGUGUAGUGACUAUGUUUCAGUUUCUUGUUAAGCCAAUGAGGACUGGGCGUUGCCUUUCUUUUCACCAUUAAUCACUUCUCAUUAAUAAAUGUGAGAUCCUGUUGAGCAUCA